This 85-nucleotide transfer RNA is filed under the name Opitutales bacterium. RNAcentral's name for it is "tRNA-Leu". It matches the Rfam family "tRNA". Rfam says of the family: Transfer RNA (tRNA) molecules are approximately 80 nucleotides in length. Their secondary structure includes four short double-helical elements and three loops (D, anti-codon, and T loops). Further hydrogen bonds mediate the characteristic L-shaped molecular structure. tRNAs have two regions of fundamental functional importance: the anti-codon, which is responsible for specific mRNA codon recognition, and the 3' end, to which the tRNAs corresponding amino acid is attached (by aminoacyl-tRNA synthetases). tRNAs cope with the degeneracy of the genetic code in two manners: having more than one tRNA (with a specific anti-codon) for a particular amino acid; and 'wobble' base-pairing, i.e. permitting non-standard base-pairing at the 3rd anti-codon position. RNAcentral also lists the same sequence under 3 other names. The record is from RNAcentral. Lineage: Bacteria; Pseudomonadati; Verrucomicrobiota; Opitutia; Opitutales.
GCCCGGAUGGCGAAAUUGGCAGACGCGUCAGACUCAAAAUCUGAUACCGCGAGGUGUGUGGGUUCGACCCCCACUCCGGGUACCA